This 253-nucleotide ribosomal RNA is filed under the name uncultured bacterium. RNAcentral's name for it is "partial 16S ribosomal RNA". It matches the Rfam family "Archaeal small subunit ribosomal RNA", at positions 474 to 727 of the family's 1478-position model. The record is from RNAcentral.
UACCAGCACCCCGAGUGGUCGGGACGAUUAUUGGGCCUAAAGCAUCCGUAGCCGGUUCUGCAAGUCCUCCGUUAAAUCCAGCUGCUCAACAGAUGGGCCGCGGAGGAUACUACAGAGCUAGGAGGCAGGAGAGGCAAGCGGUACUCAGUGGGUAGGGGUAAAAUCCGUUGAUCCAUUGAAGACCACCAGUGGCGAAGGCGGCCUUCUGGACGGAUACUGACGCUGAGACGCGAAAGCGUGGGGAGCAAACAGG